Molecule: RNA transcript, 1343 nt
Organism: Leucoraja erinaceus (little skate)
Lineage: Eukaryota; Metazoa; Chordata; Chondrichthyes; Rajiformes; Rajidae
Gene: abitram
Gene name: actin binding transcription modulator
Exons: 8
Source: RefSeq, a predicted model, not a curated record
GAGGCCCGGCCCGCCCCCGGGUGUUGCUAGGAUACCGCCCCGGCAUAUCCCCUUACUUCCGGCGUAAGAUGGCGGCGACGAGAACGUGUCCGUCCGUGGUCGAUCGUUACUUCACCCGUUGGUACAAAACAGAUGUAAAAGGCAAACUCUGUGAAGAUCAUUGUAUCUUGCAACAUUCUAAUAGGAUAUGCGUUAUUACUGUGGCAGAAUCUCACCCUGUGUUACAGAGUACAAACAAAAUAAAAAGUAUUAGCUACCAAAUCAGUGCCAACUGCAGCCGAUUACAAAACAAGGUCUCGGGAAAGUCUAAACGGGGUGGACAGUUUCUGACGGAACUUGCCCCAUUGUGCAGGAUAAUGUGUGAAAAUGGUGAGGAGUACACAAUAUACAGCUGUAUCAGGGGACGUUUAUUGGAAGUAAAUGAAAAUAUUCUCCAGAACCCCAGCCUUCUACAAGAAAAGCCCUCCACAGAAGGAUACAUUGCCAUUGUGCUACCCAAGUUUGAAGAAAGCAAAAGCAUUACCCAAGAUUUAAUUAACCAGGAGAUGUAUGAAGACAUUAUUUUAAAGAGAGACAUUUUGGCAGCAGAACAGUUAAACACUGACACCAGUGAUCCAGUAACCCCCAGCGUAGUUUGAACAACUGAAGGUCACCAUUUUGAUUCUGAGUUGCAAGGAGAGACUGGGGUGCUUUUCCCUGGAACGUAGGAGGCUGAGGGGUGACCUUGUAGAGAUUACAACAUCUUGGUCAAAGGAUGAGAUUUUAUAGGAAUAUAUUAAGGAAACAAGCAUUUGCAAAUGGAGGGAAAUUCUAUAAUUUGGGAUCUGGUACAAUACAGACAUAAUAGUAUAAUAAUUAAAAUGCACAAGAGGUUGGAAAGUGCAGAUAACUCAGCAAGAACAAAAGCUGUCGAGCCAUGCCUAAGCAAGGAUUUAACAUAAGAAUUAGUUUUUAAAUAAAUGUGUUCUCUGAAAACAAUCGAAUGAUAGUGAAGAUCAUCAUCAUGCGGUUUGGAUGCAGUUCAAAUGUCUUAGUCCUUGGAACUUGUAGUAGCCAUAUAGCUUAACUCAGUAUGUUAUAACUAUAAACAGUUACCUUUAAAUUUUAUCUGCCUGUAAUUAUGUGGGUGGUAUUUAUUACGUCGUCGGAGGCAUGUUUGUGGCUGGGAUUCUCGCGCAGACGCUACUAGUUUUUAGUUUAGUUUGAAGAAGCAUGGGGGAGUGGUCACAGCUUUCGACAAUGCACGAGUUUGACAACGAGUAAGAUCAAAAUGUUAAACAAGAAGAAGUUUGGAUGAAUAUCUUACUGUUUUUACUACGACAAUAAAGAAACAAUUAAUCAAG